GAUGAAGAACGUAGCGAAAUGCGAUAAGUAAUGCGAAUUGCAGAAUUUCCGUGAGUCAUCGAAUCUUUGAACGCAUAUUGCGCCCUCUGGUAUUCCGGAGGGCAUGCCUGUCCGAGCGUCAUUACUAUCUUCAAGCACAGCUUGGUUGUUGAGCCCAAUUGUCCUAUAAUGGACAGGCUUGAAAUGCAGCGGCGAUGCCAUGUUUGGUGCCCGAGUGUAUGGGGCUUUGUCACACACUUUUGUGGCCCAGCUGGCGUUAGUCUUGACCGUUAAACUAAGAUUUGACCUCGGAUCAGGUAGGGAUACCCGCUGAACUUAAGCAUAUCAAUAAGCGGAGGA
This 339-nucleotide unclassified non-coding RNA is filed under the name soil metagenome. RNAcentral's name for it is "partial contains 5.8S ribosomal RNA, internal transcribed spacer 2, and large subunit ribosomal RNA". The stretch from base 1 to 121 matches the Rfam family "5.8S ribosomal RNA", at positions 35 to 154 of the family's 154-position model. The record is from RNAcentral.